This 251-nucleotide ribosomal RNA is filed under the name uncultured prokaryote. RNAcentral describes it as "partial 16S rRNA". It matches the Rfam family "Bacterial small subunit ribosomal RNA", at positions 525 to 775 of the family's 1533-position model. The record is from RNAcentral.
ACAUAGGUGGCAAACGUUAUCCGGAUUUACUGGGCGUAAAGCGAGUGUAGGUGGUUAUGUAAGUAGGGCGUGAAAGCUUCUGGCUCAACAGGGAGAGGCCGAUCUAAACUGCAGAGCUAGAGGAUGGUAGAGGGGGGUGGAAUUCCGGGUGUAGCGGUGAAAUGCGCAGAUAUCCGGAGGAACACCAGUGGCGAAAGCGGCCUCCUGGGCCAGUCCUGACAGUCAGGCACGAAAGCUAGGGGAGCAAACGG